RNAcentral lists this ribosomal RNA (440 nucleotides) under uncultured bacterium. Its description in RNAcentral is "partial 16S ribosomal RNA". It matches the Rfam family "Bacterial small subunit ribosomal RNA", at positions 338 to 795 of the family's 1533-position model. The record is from RNAcentral.
CCUACGGGAGGCAGCAGUGGGGAAUAUUGCACAAUGGGGGAAACCCUGAUGCAGCGACGCCGCGUGAAGGAAGAAGUAUUUCGGUAUGUAAACUUCUAUUAGCAGGGAAGAAAAUGACGGUACCUGACUAAGAAUCCCCGGCUAACAACGUUCAAGCAGCCGCGGUAAUAUGGAGGGGGCAGGCGUUAUCCGGAUUUACUGGGUGUAAAGGGAGCGUAGGGGGUGCAGCAAGUCAGAAGUGAAAGCCCGGGGCUCAACUCCGGGACUGCUUUUGAUACUGUUGAACUAGAUUGCAGGAGAGGUAAGUGGAAUUCCUAGUGUAGCGGUGAAAUGCUUGGAUAUUAGGAGGAACACCAGUGGCGAAGGCGGCUUACUAGACUGUAAAUGACGCUGAGGCUCGAAAGCGUGGGGAUCAAACAGGAUUAGAUACCCGAGUAGUC